Small nuclear RNA from Camelus dromedarius (Arabian camel), 107 nucleotides. The record is from Ensembl. NCBI's taxonomy places the organism in Eukaryota, Metazoa, Chordata, Mammalia, Artiodactyla, Camelidae.
GUGUUCGCUUCAGCAGCACAUAUACUAAAAUUGGAACAAUACAGAGAAGAUUAGCAGGGCCUCUACGCAAGGAUGACAUGCAAAUAUUUGAAGUGAUCCAUAUUUUU